UGAGGGAUAUUGCACAAUGGGCGCAAGCCUGAUGCAGCGACGCCGCGUGGGUGAUGAAGGUCUUCGGAUCGUAAAACCCUUUUCUGCGUGACGAUGAUGACGGUAGCGCAGGAAUAAGUGUCGGCUAACUACGUGCCAGCAGCCGCGGUAAAACGUAGGACGCAAACGUUAUCCGGAAUUACUGGGCGUAAAGGGCGCGCAGGCGGUUGGAUAAGUGAGGCAUGAAAGCCCCAUGGCUAAACCUGGGGAGGUUGUCUGAGACUGUCCGACUAGAGUACGAUAGAGGGGUGUAGAAUUCCGCGUGUAGUGGUGAAAUGCGUAGAGAUGCGGAGGAAUACCAGAGGCGAAGGCGGCACCCUGGAUCGUAACUGACGCUGAGGCGCGAAAGCAUGGGUAGCGAACGGGAUUAGAAACCCCGGUAGUCCAUGCCGUAAACGAUGUGUACUCGAUGUUCGGCCUACAUUGUAGGUUGAGUGUCCAAGCAAACG
Molecule: ribosomal RNA, 488 nt
Filed under: uncultured bacterium
Lineage: Bacteria
Description: bacterial SSU rRNA
Rfam family: Bacterial small subunit ribosomal RNA
Source: RNAcentral